AUGUCGAUGUUUUUACUCUCGAAAAAUGUGAUUGGGAAACUUGACAAGCACCGUAAGCGAUUCUUUUGGCAAGAGCAUGAAGGUCGGAAACGAUACCAUUUGGUGAAAUGGUCCAGAAUUUACCGCUCCAAGGAAAAAGGAGGCAUGAGGGUGAAAGACCUGCAUAAACAAAACAUUAGUCUCCUCACCAAGUGGUGGUGGAAGUUGGAAACACGGCAAGGGCUGUGGCAGGACAUAAUUCGAGCCAAAUACCUCAAAAAAGACACGAUUGUUUUGGUUAAAUCUAAAUUUGGUGAUUCUCCUAUUUGGAAGGCUAUUAUGAAAGUCAAAGAACACUACCUAGUGGGGAGAAAGGUAGUUCUAAAAUCUGGUAACCUUGCUAGAGUGUGGGAUGAUUAUAUCAAUAAUAAACCCCCUUUAUGUGAUCAAUUCCAUGCGCUAUACAACAUUUGCAAUGAUCAAGGGAUCACGGUUGCAAGCUUUAAAAACGGUGUGGAUGACAAUUUCUUUCGAAGGCGUCUCCACCCCCUCUGCUAG
RNAcentral lists this ribosomal RNA (537 nucleotides) under Triticum aestivum (bread wheat). Its description in RNAcentral is "partial small subunit ribosomal RNA". Lineage: Eukaryota; Viridiplantae; Streptophyta; Magnoliopsida; Poales; Poaceae. The record is from RNAcentral.